GCCGGGCAUGAUGGCACGUGCCUGUAGUCCCAGCUACUCGGGAGGCUGAGGUGGGAUAAUCGCUUGAACCCGGGAGGUGGAGGUUGCAGUGAGCUGAGAUCAUGCCACUGCACUCCAGCCUGGGCAACAGAGCGAGAUUCCAUCUCAA
This 148-nucleotide non-coding RNA is filed under the name Gorilla gorilla gorilla (western lowland gorilla). The record is from Rfam by way of RNAcentral. Lineage: Eukaryota; Metazoa; Chordata; Mammalia; Primates; Hominidae.